AAUGAAAAAGGAUUUUUAUGCUGCUUGGUUGGAAAUACAUAAGAAAAAAAUAGAAUGAAAAAAUUUAUAAUAAAAUAUUAUAAUUCUGUUUGGGAUUGUGGAUAGAUUGUGAUAUAUAAUAAAAAAAAGUAUGAUAAGAAUAAUAAUUUAUUAAAAUAUAUCGACUAUCUUUAACACAAGUAGUAAAGGACUUGGUGGUUGAUAUUCUAGGCCUCAAAUUCGAAUUAUAUUUAAUUCACAUUUCAAACGAAGCAUACUACCUAUAUUUCAAAAAAACAUAAUUGGUUACGAUUCCAUUAAAAAUAAUUAAAUCAUAGUUCUACAUGCUUUUUCAUCCAUUUUAUUUUAUCUAACAAUGUUGGACGCUCUCCCUACAAAGCGGGCUCUACCAUUUGUUGAAGUUAUUGACAUUUUUUUUUUUGGUUAAUGUUAUAUAGAUUUCUGAAAAUAUAUCGAGAAAUAGGGAAAAGAAACAGUUCGGCUCAAUACUAAGAUGUGAUUCGGUUUAGUUCAAACAAAACAAGAAAAUAAUCCAGUUUGGUAACAAGAAAAUAAUCCGGUUUUGUUUAAAUAAAAAAAGAGAAAAACAUAUAGAGAAUUUGAGCUGAUUCGAAAGAAUCCACACUCAAUAAUUAUUGGUCCGGUUUAAUAAAAAAAAAAAUUGAUUCAGUUCAAAUUAAAAAAAAAAAUGUAAAGU
Molecule: long non-coding RNA, 697 nt
Filed under: Ananas comosus (pineapple)
Lineage: Eukaryota; Viridiplantae; Streptophyta; Magnoliopsida; Poales; Bromeliaceae
Description: long non-coding RNA (ACOM_LNC008074)
Source: RNAcentral